GAUGAACGCUGGCGGCGUGCUUAACACAUGCAAGUCGAACGUGAGAAUAGCAAUAUUUGAAAGUGGCAAACGGGUGAGUAACACGUGGGAACCUGCCUCGAAGUGGGGGAUAACGAUUGGAAACGGUCGCUAAUACCGCACGGUUCUGCUCUGAUGGGAAUGGAGCAGAUAAAGAUUUAUCGCUUUGAGAGGGGCCCGCGGCCGAUUAGCUAGUUGGUAAGGUAAAGGCUUACCAAGGCGAUUAUCGGUAGCUGGUCUGAGAGGACGAUCAGCCACACGGGAACUGAGACACGGUCCCGACUCCUACGGGGGGCAGCAGUGAGGAAUAUUGGGCAAUGGGCGAAAGCCUGACCCAGCAACGCCGCGUGGAGGAUGAAGGCUUUAGGGUUGUAAACUCCUUCUGUGGGGGAAAAGAAUGGAUGGUACCCCAAGAAUAAGUCACGGCUAACUACGUGCCAGCAGCCGCGGUAAGGAGCUGUCGU
Molecule: ribosomal RNA, 482 nt
Filed under: uncultured bacterium
Lineage: Bacteria
Description: bacterial SSU rRNA
Rfam family: Bacterial small subunit ribosomal RNA
Source: RNAcentral